Long non-coding RNA from Papaver somniferum (opium poppy), 2478 nucleotides. RefSeq lists it as uncharacterized. The record is from RefSeq and is a predicted model, not a curated record. The transcript is spliced from 3 exons. NCBI's taxonomy places the organism in Eukaryota, Viridiplantae, Streptophyta, Magnoliopsida, Ranunculales, Papaveraceae.
UCAAAUCUAAAGCUAAACAUUUCAUCAGUCGUCUACGAAACCCAACUCAUCUAAUCUUCAUAGGAGAUUCCAGUUCAAAAUCGAGAUGACUUCAAUUAGCAUUCAAAUUCAAGCAGAGGAUAUCAUCACCAACAUACUCUCGCGCUUACCGGUGAAAUCUAUUAGUAGAUUCAGGUGUGUAUCAAAAACUUGGUGUAAGUUGCUGAAUAACCCUCAUUUCAUUAAAACACAACUUAAUCAUGCUCUUCAAAACAAUGUGUUCAGUCUCCUUGUUCUGUCUUUAAGAAUGGGCGCUAGUAUAUGUGACAAUAACUAUGAUAUAUACUCUGUAGAUUAUGAUUCAAUAACCUCAACAUAUAGAAAAUCUGUUAAGAUUGGUUAUAAAUUUGAACCUAAUUAUACGACUUCAUUCGACUUUUGGGGUUCUAGUAGUGGCUUGAUUUGCUUUAGUAGUAGGGGAGUUGUUUGUUUAUGGAACCCAACUGAAAGAGUAUAAAGAAAUUCCAUCACCACCAAACAAUUUUCCGGUAGAUGACGAAGGUGAACUGCUUUCCCAUAUUAGCUACGGUUUUGGUUAUGACUGCAAUAUUGAGGAUUAUGUGUUAGCAAGUAUUGACUAUUCUGAACUUGAUAUCUUUACAUUAAGAUCAAAUUGCUGGAUAAGAAUUCCGAAUGUCCCAUAUCAAAUGUCUUGUGGUGUGAUUUUGAUUUUUAAUGGAGCUCUACAUUGGAUUGCGAAUCCCAUUGGGGGAACCGAAGAGGCUAUUGUAUUAGCUACUUACGAAAUUGGUGAUGGGAGGUUCAAGACACUACCAAGAGACUUCGAUGAUAAGUUUGAAAUUGUAUAUGUGGGUGUGCUGGCUGGGUGUUUGUGUUUAACAGCUAAUAUUUAUGGGGUGCGUACUGUUGUGUGGGUGAUGAAGGAUUAUGGAGUGCAAGAAUCUUGGACCAGACUUUUCACUAUUGAUCAACACACUUCUGCCGGAUCAUUCAAAUUUUUGAAGCUUAUAAAGCCCCUUAAGAAUGGUGAUCUUGUGUUUCAAAAAGAUCACUCUGAAUUGUUUUUAUAUGACCCAGAUCAAGGAGAAGCUAGAACUCGGAAGAUCCGUGGUAUUACACAAGAGAUGACUGCAUGGGCUUACUCGGAUAGUUUAGUUUCACCUAACUCUCUCACUUCUCCAGCUCAAGAGCAGAUAAGGCAAGCGUAAACCAGAAAACACAGUGAAUUGCCUAAAGAUACACACAACAAGAGGCAUCGCUACAGGGACUGACUCAGCAGAAGCCCUAGCCCUUCAGCUAGCAGUAAAUUGGGCCACAAGUUCAGGGGAGAAAAGGGUGGUUUAUUUGUGUGAUUGUGAAGAUGUGGUGUCACGACUUGCCAAACAGUUGCUCAUGGGCAGUAUCUAUUAUUCUGAAGGAUACAAAGAAGUUUUUUGGGUUUUUUGAAUCUGUCAAAGUGAUUUAUGUAAAUAGGAAUCACAUUUCUUGUGCUGACAGUUUGGCAGAUAUGCCAGAAAAUAUAGAUCUAGAUGUGGAAAGAUUUGAUCUUUAAUAAACAAAGAUGGGACUGUAUGCCGUAGAGCUGAUGGCGUGGACUGGUGCUGUAUUAUACUGCUGCAAGCUUGGUGGUCAUGAGUUGCAAGAGAAAUUGGUUUGGCAUGGUGGGUGUUCAGACUCUAGGAGGUGGUGGUCGUGUGUGGUUGGAGAGCAACUCCUGGUGGUGAUAAGCAGGUAAGUGAAUACCUUUCUUGCUUAAUAUGUAUAUUAUCCAGUUUUUAGAAGAAAAAGAAAAGGAGACGUACUAUUAGAAUUAUAGAAGUAUUUUUUACUACUGCAUAUUAAUGACAACAUCUUAGAUGUAGCAACAUAUCCUUAAGUAGGAUAAAACUAUGUCCCUUCGGGGACAUCCAAUAAGUCUGAUGAAAGUGUGUGAUGGUUAUAUUUGUCUACGCUACCAUUGAAGAGAAAACAGUAAAGUUCCUAUCUUAGGAUAACCUCUUUGAUGAAGGAAAACAAUGUUGCCUUAUUAUAUAUGAUCCAGAUCAAGGAGAAGCUAGAAUUGGGAAGAUCCGUGGUAUUACACAAGAAAUGUCUACAUGGGCUUACUCGGGUAGUUUAGUUUCACAUAACUCUAUUACUUCUCCAGCUCAAGAGCAGAUAAGGCAAGCAUAAAUCAGAAAACACAGCGAAGUGCCCAAGGAUACACACAAUAAGAGGCGUCACUACAGGGACAGACUCAGCAGACUCUCUACUCAAGACAGCUAAGCGGACAAGCGUAUUUGACUUUCACUUGGCCCUGUUAUUCGUAUUAUCAUAGUAUAUGCCAAGUAUUGUACACCCAAAAAAUUCAGUUAUGCACCCUCUUGUUUUGACCAUAUGGUUUUUAUCUCCAUUUUAACUGUUGGUAAAAGUAGUGGAAUUCUUGUGUAGCCGGAUAUCUGAAAUGUUAGGUUAAUGAUAAGAUGACUCUUUUGGUGA